GGAAGCUGAGGCUUAAAGAGAGGAAGAGACUUGCUCAAGAUCUCACAAGCAAAGAAGGGAAGAGAAAGAACCAGAGAGAUGUUUAACUUAUCUGCCAACCUGAUUUGGAUACUUUCUAAUGUCCCUUGAGUCCAAGGGAAAAAAAAAAAGAGAUCUCUGAGGAAAAAAGAUCCUGCUCCCAAGACAAAGACCUGCAGUGGUCUGCAACUGGGCAAGAUACAAACAGACAGCCAUUUCCGCCAGAUCUGAUUGUCAGCUCCUUGACAACUGGUAUCACAUGGAUAUCCUCCAGUUGGGCUCCCUCAUUCAAAGCCUGGCUCUACAUUCACAAGCUGUAUUAUGUUGAGAAGUUACAAUCGAAGUAGAACCUGUUUCACCAUCUGUUAAAGGGGGGAAAUACUACCAUCUACAUCAUGGGGUGGUAGCCAGAAUCAAAUAAAAUGAUAGAUGAGAA
Molecule: long non-coding RNA, 454 nt
Filed under: Pan troglodytes (chimpanzee)
Lineage: Eukaryota; Metazoa; Chordata; Mammalia; Primates; Hominidae
Description: long non-coding RNA NONPTRT017942
Source: RNAcentral